UACGGGGGGGGCAAGCGUUGUUCGGAAUUACUGGGCGUAAAGGCUCGUAGGCGGCCAACUAAGUCGGACGUGAAAUCCCUCGGCUUAACCGGGGAACUGCGUCCGAUACUGGAUGGCUUGAGUUCGGGAGAGGGAUGGCGGAAUUCCAGGUGUAGCGGUGAAAUGCGUAGAUAUCUGGAGGAACACCGGUGGCGAAGGCGGCAUCCUGGACCGACACUGACGCGAGGAGCGGAAAGCC
RNAcentral lists this ribosomal RNA (238 nucleotides) under uncultured bacterium. RNAcentral describes it as "partial 16S ribosomal RNA". It matches the Rfam family "Bacterial small subunit ribosomal RNA", at positions 524 to 761 of the family's 1533-position model. The record is from RNAcentral.